Long non-coding RNA from Heterocephalus glaber (naked mole-rat), 1748 nucleotides. The record is from Ensembl. Lineage: Eukaryota; Metazoa; Chordata; Mammalia; Rodentia; Bathyergidae.
CCCUUGCCUUACAGGAGUGACUGAGGAAGUCAUGUGUUCUAGGUGAUGAAGUUCAAGACAGAGAAAGACUAUUCAUGGGGUAUCAAAUUAAAGCAGAAGUGUGAAAUUAACCUCUGUGGGUUACAGCAUAGACAUUGCUGGUUACAGCCCCAUAACCUAACCUGGCCUAAUAGUCAUAGGAGAAUUCCAAGAUUAGUCAGUCUUGAGGUACUCAAGUGUUGAGUCAGCUGAAGGCUCCCUUUUAGAUCCAGUAAGUCAAAAUACUUAGGGAAAGGCCCUAGGAUGUUUUAUUUUUAAUAAGACUAUGCUGUGGCUUGUGUUUAGAUGUCCCCCCCAAAGCCGCAUGCUUUUGCAGAGGUGGCUGAAUCUAGAGUGUGUGAUUGAUUCCUGGUGGGGUAGGCCCAAGGGCACUAGGAUUAAGGGUGUGAGUGCUUCUCACCCUAAGUAGCCUGAAUAAGAUAAAAGGGGCCGGAAGAUGCUGUUAAGGUCACUUGUUGUUUCUGCUGUCUUCCACCACCAUGAACUGUUGCCCCUCUGCCACUCUGCCUUGGAGCCAGCCUAUUACGGACUGAAACCUCUACGAACGUGACCACCAGAAAGGGCCUGCGCCAGUGAUGCCACAGAGUAGGGCUCCAAGGAGAGAAGAUGGAGCACAGCUAGGCCUGCCGUGUCCAGGAAAGAAAGCACUGCCAUGCAAGCUGUUCUCAUUCACCCUGGGACUCAGCCGAGGGCAGGAGCUGAGACUGGCAGCUGCUGGCCAGAUUCUUUCUGAGCAAGUGCUCCUGCUACACAAACUCACUGGUGCUUGGAAACGAAAAGUACCAAGUACGAAGGCAGAGGCUGGAUUGGCACGUGUGGGCAGCGUCCAUCCCAGAGCCACCCGCUACAGUCAGGGAAGGCUUCCCUCGGCAGCUCGCCUGGAGACCAGACACGCCUUCUUCAGUCCUGCCAGCCCCUGAUCUUACAGAAUGAAAGUGCUGCCAUGAUCAUAAGAACAUUUGGCCAGUAUUUCUGCUCACUCCCCGCCCAGGAGCACCCAGGGCUGUCUGAGCCUUUCCCCAGCUCCCCACAGACCCAGCAAGGAGGCUGGAAAGCAAGCACAGAUGACGGAACUGAGAUUUAGCUCCAAGCAAAUCUGAAUUUGAAUCGUGGCCUCAUCACCUGUCAGGCUGAGGACUGGCCUUGGGCAGCAGCAUGGCGGUAGGCCAAGGCGGGAAGAUAAAGAGAACAACUGCGCCAUCUGCUGGGCAUCCUGGACAAGCUCAUCUGCGUCCAGGUGCUGAGGAUACUGUGGUGAACAGCAUACCUAGGAAGGCAGGACCACCAAAAUGCACUGCGGUGAGAGGGAUGAAGAGGAAGAUCCAAGCAGACAGAACAGAUGCAAAAGCCCAUCAAAGCUUUUCCCGAGAGCCCAGGGUCAGCAGAAACCCAGCCUUACAGACACACUUUUUAGAGCUCUUGACAUUUCCUCAAAGAAAGAACGGUCCUCUGUCUUUGAAGAUUGACAUUCUCUGGCACCAAGCGGGAAUACUGCUAGCAAAUCUUUUCCCUUUCUUAAAGUAGCUGUAAAAAGGAUGAUUAAACCAUAGAAAUGGGAGCAUCACUGAAAAAAAGAAGUUUUGUAAAGAUCAGCAUGGUGCAGUUCAGAGUGUUUAGGAUCUAUCAGUAUCUGGAAUCAGCAGAUACAGGUUCAAAAUCAUUCUGUAAAUGUUCCACCACUGGAAAACUUUCAAAAUAUCAGACAGCCA